RNAcentral lists this ribosomal RNA (788 nucleotides) under Bacillus subtilis. Its description in RNAcentral is "bacterial SSU rRNA". It matches the Rfam family "Bacterial small subunit ribosomal RNA", at positions 92 to 864 of the family's 1533-position model. Lineage: Bacteria; Bacillati; Bacillota; Bacilli; Caryophanales; Bacillaceae. The record is from RNAcentral.
UUAGCGGCGGACGGGUGAGUAACACGUGGGUAACCUGCCUGUAAGACUGGGAUAACUCCGGGAAACCGGGGCUAAUACCGGAUGGUUGUUUGAACCGCAUGGUUCAAACAUAAAAGGUGGCUUCGGCUACCACUUACAGAUGGACCCGCGGCGCAUUAGCUAGUUGGUGAGGUAACGGCUCACCAAGGCAACGAUGCGUAGCCGACCUGAGAGGGUGAUCGGCCACACUGGGACUGAGACACGGCCCAGACUCCUACGGGAGGCAGCAGUAGGGAAUCUUCCGCAAUGGACGAAAGUCUGACGGAGCAACGCCGCGUGAGUGAUGAAGGUUUUCGGAUCGUAAAGCUCUGUUGUUAGGGAAGAACAAGUACCGUUCGAAUAGGGCGGUACCUUGACGGUACCUAACCAGAAAGCCACGGCUAACUACGUGCCAGCAGCCGCGGUAAUACGUAGGUGGCAAGCGUUGUCCGGAAUUAUUGGGCGUAAAGGGCUCGCAGGCGGUUUCUUAAGUCUGAUGUGAAAGCCCCCGGCUCAACCGGGGAGGGUCAUUGGAAACUGGGGAACUUGAGUGCAGAAGAGGAGAGUGGAAUUCCACGUGUAGCGGUGAAAUGCGUAGAGAUGUGGAGGAACACCAGUGGCGAAGGCGACUCUCUGGUCUGUAACUGACGCUGAGGAGCGAAAGCGUGGGGAGCGAACAGGAUUAGAUACCCUGGUAGUCCACGCCGUAAACGAUGAGUGCUAAGUGUUAGGGGGUUUCCGCCCCUUAGUGCUGCAGCUAACGCAUUAAG